AUACGGAGGGUCCGAGCGUUAUCCGGAAUCAUUGGGUUUAAAGGGUCCGUAGGCGGGAAUCUAAGUCAGUGGUGAAAUCUUGCAGCUCAACUGUAAAAUUGCCAUUGAUACUGGAUUUCUUGAAUUAGUGUGAAGUGGUUAGAAUGUGUAGUGUAGCGGUGAAAUGCAUAGAUAUUACACAGAAUACCAAUUGCGAAGGCAGAUCACUAACACUAUAUUGACGCUAAGGUACGAAAGCGUGGGGAGCGAACAGGAUUAGAAACCCCAGUAGUCC
This 274-nucleotide ribosomal RNA is filed under the name uncultured bacterium. RNAcentral describes it as "partial 16S ribosomal RNA". It matches the Rfam family "Bacterial small subunit ribosomal RNA", at positions 523 to 796 of the family's 1533-position model. The record is from RNAcentral.